AAAUCAAUACAUGUACACCAAAAUAACUUUCAGGUAUGUGAUAAUGAAAAUACAAAUUUUUGCAUUUGAAGUAUCAAAUAUUAAUCAGGUUGAACUAUAUUAUGUCAAUCAUCCCAGGCACAAAUGUAAAGAGGUAACAAAUACAUACAAUACUUAGAAAUGAAACCUUAUGAGGUUUGGGGACUGCACAGCUUUUCCAGCUCUGUGACUAACUUAAUCUUCAAAAGAGUGGUGUUGACAAGGACAAAAAAUCCUUUCUCUUUCCAAUGAAAACCUGAAUCAAAAUGGGUAGAAAGGUAAAAUACUCAAGAUGAGAAAUUUGGGUUAUUACAUGAACAGCGCCCUCUCAAGAGAAUUUUCUGAUAUCGAGAGUCAGGAAUACAAAAGUUUUUUAAAUACAAUGAUACCAAUGUACAGGCCCUUUCCUAUCCUUUCGUCAAUUGUUACUUCUUAUAGGUUACCAGAUAGGUUAAUCAAAAUCUGUUUAGUAACCUUCGAUGAGUUAUUAAACAAAAUAAACCCUGCGUCAAUUAAACAAAUUUCCAAAACUAAACACUGUUCUUACUUAUUGAAUUCUUAGUGAUUAAUAGGUCAUAUAACGCAUCUUGUAGUUCAAAUUUAUUCAACAAUUCAUUCCCUGUUCUCAGUGAAAGUAUUUUCUUUCAUGACGUAAAGAAAUCCCAACCAGACGAAAAGAAAUGAGAGAAGAGCAGCAAAGUGAAGAAAGCGGAGCAUCAACACCUGAGGAACUCAAAUAGAGAACGGAGCAACCUCCUGACAAAGACAAAACUCAGCUUUUUUCGUAAACUACAAUGCAAUAUUGUAGUGGUCCUACGCAUCAUCUAACUAAACGUUUGAAAACAAAUAACAACAUUAAUUCAUGUUUUGAAUUUACCAAUUUGUAGUUGUUGAAAUGAAACGACUAACAUUUUUCCAAUGCUGUAUAACAACAUCUGUGUUAUCUGCUAAGAGAUAAACCUAAAUGAGGAAAACACCAUUUUGGCAGUUUAAGAUAGGUGAGACAAAUCUUUGUCCAAAAUCCCCUACUGAAUGGACCGAAAACACUUUGUUUCCAACUGAACCCAGAGACAUCUGUCUCAUCCUUGAAAGAACUGAUCAACAGCAAGAUCGGCAUCUAGCCCCCACAUCAGCACCUUUACAUCAGGAGAAAUUUCCAGAAAUUCCAGGUGGGUAUAUUACACAUAAAACCAACACUGCCGCAUUCUAUAAACAUUAAGGAAUCAACCAUUUGUUCUAAUCACAGAAAUUUAUUUUCUAGGCAUAGUGCAAUGUCUUCAACUCCUAUUUUCAGAUUUUAAGUAUUGUUAGUAAGUUUGUUGGAUUUUUGUCACACUAUCUUUACAUGUUCAGUCUAAAAACUCAGACUUUGCCCUUGAAGGUAUGCAUGUUUGCAUUUUCUUUUCAGCUCUGUGACUUGCUUAUAUUCAAUGACCAUGAAAUUCACCAGGACAAGAACAUCGCAAUUAGUCAGUCUUCUGAUGGCCUGCUGGGUGGUGGACAGAAAGGUAAAUAGCCAUUGGAGAUAUCAGUUUUUAAGAUGGAAAUUUAAAAUCCCCUCAUCGUAGGUAAUUCCCAGCAGGAUGCAUAUUAUCAUCAGCCCUAAUGAAAUGAAAACAUAAUUUGAUAUAAACAAGGAAAAUCAUAAAGGACUUCUUAAAUUACAAAUACUCAACACAAUCAGUAAGCUGCUGGUUGUAAUCUUAUUAGUCCAUUGUUACAUGAAAUUAGUACCAACAGGACAUCAAAUAUUUCUAGAACUGCACUCUAAUAGUCCAAUUUAAAAAGGUCAGCUGUGUGCAUUAAGUGCAUUACUUUCUUCUCACCUCAAAACAAUCGGUCAAAAGUCUGAGAAUCUGAAAGGUUUCUGAUGUGAAGUUCACAUAAAAAUGUAGCGACAAAACAAAUUUAAACAGCAAACAUCAGGCUCAUGCGACCCAACCUAAUCCCAUACUUCCAACAGUACCACCAUCCCAUUCACCCCACCAUACUCCAAACAGCCACACCAAGUAAAACCCACCGACCAAAUUAAUGGCUGACUCGCUGACCAACCAAGUAACUACAAACUAACUUGUAAUACUGAUAUGAUUGAAGAUGACAGCAUUAUUUAUUACAUCUUGACAAGAUACUUGGGGUGAUAUAAAAAUGGUCUACCCAAGCUUGUCAAACUGAAAACUUAUCCCCUCAGAAUGACAAGUUAAAUCCUAUCGUUUUGGACAUUAUUUGAAUAGUGUGGGCAAAGCAAACUCUGUCUUUGCAAAAGACUUCCUGGUGUUGGAUGACAUGUUGUCUUUAAUAUUUCUGGCUUCCUUACUUCGUUUUUACUUUGUUUUGUCCACAUAAAAGGCAAUGCAGAUAUACAGUCUACAAUAUCACUGUAAUAUCUUUCAAAGAGGUUCAAUUUGCUUUUGGCAGACAAAAGCCAGAUUGAUGAUCCACUCUUCCAGGACCUAUCCAUGAAAGUAAAAGAAUCCUGGGAAAAGUUGGCCAAGUGCCUAGGAUACAGUGAAGAUGUCAUGCAAAUCCACACCAUCUCUGAAGACAAAAAAGAAUGCUGUCAUCACAUGUUUCUGUCUUCAUUGAAAAAGCAGACAAAUCAUGAAGCAGGACUCAAGAGGCUAGAAGAAGCAUUAGCAAAUGUUGGUUUUGCUGAAUUGUCCUCACUGGAGCCAGGUGAGUCUAUAUGCACAUCUUGAGAGUUUGUGUUGGAAUGAGAGCAUUUUCAUCAGAUCAUCUGUGUGUAAAGCAGCUUUCAAUCCCUAAGAAAGGCCACACUAUGCCAUGUCCGAAAAAAUCCUGAAAGCGUUUUACGAUACGAAAAAAAGGCAAGACGUUGAGUCAAUUUAUAGACUACUUAAUUCAAAAGCUUUUUUCACCUUCAAUAAAUUAAAUUGAUUAAAAGACAAAAAAAUAAAAAGAACAGAGGGUUUGCAUUCAUUACUAUUUUCAAUAGUAUAGGGUCCACGUGUACAUCAAAGGGUUAUGGUAACCUUACAUAUCAUUGAACACCUUUCUUUUAAAGAAUCAGACCAAGAAGAUAUCCAGCAAGGGCCACUGAAAUCAAAUGAGGAUGAGAAAGCCGGAGCAACUUAAUCCCCCAAAACAAGACACUGCAUGGAUGAAAGAACAAAGUGUGCAGAAUGGGACUAAAUCAUUGGAGGAAGAGAUACUGAGAAAGGAGCAAGUUUAUGAUGGAGACAGGACCCAGCUACAGAAACAUCAUCAAAUGCCGGAGGAAAUAUGGCAGAGCUUGCAGGGGAGAAUGACAUCAUCAAGAGAACAUGGAUAGGGCGUUUAGAGUCCUUCAAAACACCUCACAAAAGGAAAAAACAGCAAGCAUCAGCCAACCACCCGGACAUGUUAAAAAGGGGGAUGCCAUUUCUCAAAGAACAGGAGGUGAAGAAGUCCACACAACGGAGCCCACAGGUGGAUAAAUUACGUAAAAGCCCAAGUGAGAUACAAGAAGAGGCAGCAGUUGAAGAGCUGCCAUCAUAUGCAGAGAAUUCAGAAAUUAAGCUCAUUUCAGGAUAUCAUUCCUUCUCGACCCCAACUGGAAGCAGUUGCUGCACAAAGACAAGGAUCUUUGCCACCUGGGUAUGUGGAAGCCAUGAAUGUCUCUGGUGAAAAUAAUACUGCCGUUGUGGGCAGUUUUUUCAACCAGUAUCAAUCUUCAGUUGGACUAUACCAGCAAGUGCUUCAGGUAAAUAAUUUACUAUACCAGCAAGUGCUUCAGGUAAAUAAUUUUCCAAAUCAGUAUAUGUUUGCAUGCUUUCCACUUUUUCCAUUUCUCAUUGCUCCUCGCAUGAAAUAAAUAAUACAAUUGUACAUGCACUAGGUGGUACAUAACAUAAAAUAAUGUAACAAACAAUUAACCAAUAAAACCUAUCAACUUGAGUUGCACUUACAAACAAAUAAAACUUGUAAAAACUGACGCUGAAAUUCAGAGGUACAUCUUAUUUUAACAUUGAAAAUGUUAAAAUCCUAAAAUAAAAAAAUUCCUCAGAAAAAUUUCUUUCCAAUGGAGCUUUCUUUACGUAUUGAUGGUCACGCCAUGCACCAUGUAGAGACUUGAGUAGCAUUACCCAGGACUGCAGGAUGCUUUAAAAAUCCCAUCUUUUGUUUCUGAUGGUUUAUGUUAUUAGGAGAUGGCUAAACAAACCCGCCAACUCAACAUACAUAUAUGCCACUUCCCCCCCCCCCCCGAUGAUUCACUGAAGUAUUGUCGGAAGCAGAUUAUCAAGUACUACCAGGAAACAACCAGCACCAUAAGCAUGCACACCCCUUGGAUCCUUCCAGGACCAUGGAUACUGAUGAGCUGUUUUUCAUUUACUGCUCAAUUGGUGUUACCUUCCUAUAAGCCUGCACACCCCUUGGAUCCUUCCAGGACCAUGGAUACUGAUGAGCUGUUUUUCAUUUACUGCUCAAUUGGUCUUACCUUCCAGUUGUAGAGGAACAAGUAAUUCUAGCUUCAUGGUUAGAUAUAUUCAGGCCAGAAAAAGUAGGUAAUUGUAUCCCUUCAAGUGAGGCAAUAUGUGGUAAGAAAAUGUUUUUGUUAAUUUUGGAUAAACAUCUCCCGGCGCAAAUCCAUCCUUGGACAUUACUUUUUUGUUAAAAGUUACCAAUGCAAGCAGUGUGCUCAAUCUAAUGUUUCCACUAACUAAAUUCAAAUUUUACCACCAGGCACAUUACUGACCAAGAUGAGAUUGAUUGAGCUGACUGAACACUAUGAAGAAGAAACUGCCUUCUUAUCGGAUGUAUUAGAUGAAAUUCCUCCUCAUGUUCUUUGUUCUCCUUGAGGUGUAUUAAGAGUUAAGGAUAUAUUGGAAAAAAGCAUCUUGACAAAAAGUUGUAUCUUAGUAACAACAUGACCGCACAAGGUUGGGUAUGCCCUCAAUGAGUACUCACAACUCGCAUACAUUGAAGUAUUGGGGUAAAUAUCCAGCACUGUGAACACAUGCACCAGAAAGUACUUUGCAGAAAAUGUAAGGUCAGCAGAAGAAGUGAUAUCUAAUCUGAAAUGCAGUAUAUGUGGAAAUAUAGGCCCCAAUGAUGCUGGUCUUCAUAUGCAAAACUUGGGAAAAGCAGUCAAAAUUACCUGAAAGAACAACAUUGCUAUUUAGGGAAAUUGUUGAGAUUCUUGUCAUUUGCCAUUGCAAUGAAGGCAAGGAUAAAAGGAGCUGAUGAGAUCAAGUUUGUGUGGAUUAGGGCAAGUCACCCUGGAUGGGUUACUAGACUCUGAUGGUCAAAGGUCCAUUUUCUCUGCCAAAGAGUAUAUUUAAAGAUGGAUGUGGAUUGGGUUUCCUUCAACAGGAAAGUUCACGUAAUGGCCAGAGUUGUAUAGUGACCUUCCUGCACAAGUCCUUCCAAGAAUAUUGCGCAGGGGUCAGCUUUGCCAAUUUGACAUACAGAGAAAGGUUCUGUGAGAAGUUGAAGAAAAUGUGCAAAAGUUGCAAAAAUGUGAAAGCAAUGCAGCGACCCCUUCAGUUCACGUGAGGCUUGGCAUCAAACUCCCCUGCUACCAGACUCAUCUUGAAUCAUGUUAGAAAUCUGCGCCUGGGACCACAUGAGUUGAACGCAAUGUGUUUGAACUAAUUAUUGUUGUUUGAGUCCGAUUCUGAUGAAUUUAUUGAUAUGUGUGGAACAGUCAAAGUGGUGUGUAAUUGGGAAGAUUUGACGUCACUCCUGUAUUACUUGAAGUGUGACCCGCAUCCAUGUCAAGACACCGAGUAUAAAUUGCACUGUGACUCAUUUGAGGCACUGACAUUGUUGAGAGAUACAUGUAUUCUAUGGAGUGGCAAACUUAAGCCGGGCAGUAGUCAGGAUUCAAAGGGAUCCGUACUGGAAGUCAACUACACCGUACCUGAACAAGGGAAUCUGGAGAUGUUGCACCUGGAGAGAAAAUACUUGCAAAAAUGAAUGCUGAGCUUCGGACAAACUUCAGUUUAUACAACUCUUCCCACCUUAGAGGCAUGCAAAAUCACUGAAGACCGCCUGGCCAGUGACCCUUCCCUCGCUGACCGCACCACCCUCUCACCCAGCCAGAUCACCGACCUCAUCCGGCUCUGCGUAUCAUCCAGCUAUUUUCAGUUUCAAGGCCAGUUCUACGAACAGACGGCAGGGACUUCCAUGGGAUCUCCUAUAUCCCCAGUCCUCGCCAACAUCUUCAUGGAGGAAUUCGAAUCAUCUUCUCUUCUCACCGCCGACCGUAAACCCACCCUGUGGCUACGCUACGUAGAUGACACCUUUGUGAUCUGGCCCCACAGUCAAGAUGCACUUCAAGACUUCUUGGGUACCUCAACCAGCAGUAUCCCACCAUCAAGUUCACCAUGGAGCAGGAGGAAGAUGGUCAACUUUCCUUCCUCGACAUCCACCUUACAAGACACACAGACGGCACCCUCGACCACCGCGUCCACCGCAAGCCAACCCACACAGACCGGUACCUUCACCACAGGUCAUUCCACCACCCAGCCAUUAAGUCAUCGGUCAACAGUGCCCUCGUACGGCGAGCCUUCCAAAUCUGCAACCAAGACAACUUGUACCAGGAACUCCAACACAUCAAGACCGCCCUCCACCUCAACGGCUACCAACGCAUCAACCUCACCAAAGCCUCCUCCCAAGACGUUAGGGUCCUCUAUACCCGAAGUCACCCCACCCUCCCCGGCGUUAGGGUCUCCUAUACCCGAAGCCAAUCCUCCUGCCGCUACCAUUUGCCUCCCGUACCUUGGCCCCGUCUCCCACCAACUUCGGAGUAUGCUACAAGCCGCCAACAUAAAAGUGUUUCACUCGUCUCCCAACAAGCUCCAAGCCCUUUUACACUCCCACAAAGACAAGCAGCCCUCCACCACUCACCCCGGAGUUUACCGCAUUCCAUGCGGUCAGGUGUAUAUCGGGGAAACAGGAGGGAAGCCUCCCGACCCUGUAUCAAGGAACACCGGGCACAUGGCCGACGAGAAGAAUAAGACAAGUCGGCCAUCAUCAAGCAUGCCCACGACAGAGACCACAACAUCAAAUGGGACAAUGCAGAACUUAUCGCCCCCAUCAAAAACUGGAUGCCAAGAAGAAUCCGUGAAGCCAUAGAGAUUUUCCGUCACAACACCGUUCCCCAAGACAUCGGCUUCAAGCUCAGCGACAUCUGGCGUCCCCUACUCUCUCCAGUACACCACCCCUCCCAGGGAAGUAGGGUCUCCUAUACCCAAAACCCUCAGGCACCGGGUCCUCUUUACCCAGCCUAACCCCCCUUUCCCGCCCAAAGCAAAGCUUCAAAUCUUACUUAUCUUCCUUAAUGAGAAGUCAGCCUUUGAUAUUGAAUACAUAUUGGAACACCUAACCUAAGUAUCCAACCAAUUGCUAGAAGUCAAGGGGUGUGGCAGUUCACAGUGUCACCAUAACAAAUACGCUAAGGAAGUGCAGUAGGCUGAGACCUGUCAAUUUGGCUCAUAUCAACCUGAAUGGUAAGGUAAGCAGGCUAGCUGCUCUUAUUCCUCCAUCCUCCAUGUUGGUAUUGGAGGCACAUAGAUGAGAUGAUGACGUCCGUGAUCUGAUCAGCAUUCUCCCUGCUGGGCAUAGUUUGAGGAGUUUCCGUGUUCCCUGCAAUGCAUUCAGCUUGAAGGGAUUAAAGACCCUGACAGCCCAUCUCUGGGGCCUCCCACAGCUAUUCAGAUUCCAGCUUGAAUAUAAAGGUCCAGAUUCAGAUCAGGUUGAGAAGAUCAUUAUGGAAAAUAUUCCUUACUGUAGACCUUUUAGAAGCUUAGUUAUUACGUGAAAAUUUGCAUAUCAUUCAACAAAAUGUUGAUGCAUUUCACAUACAUAUAAGGACAUGCCAAACAAAGUCUUGGGCUUCUAUAACCCUGUUCACUCUUAAGGAACACGGAAAAAUCAGGCAGCACUGCAUUGAAAACUUUGCUGACAUUCAUCAUAAGCAAUUCUAGAAGCAACAAUGUCUUGAAUUGCUAAUUCAGUUAAAGCACCUAAACAUUACCAGAAAUCCUUAAAAUGCCCAUCCCGUGUGUGGCUUGUCUACUUCGUUACGCACACAUGCAAUACGUGGUAUUGUGUAACUAAGAGCAAACUCGGCGCGGUCUGUCUGUAGAAAUAUGCCGCUGAUUACCCGACAAAAAAGGAUUAAAUUCUGCGGGUUGAUGAACCCUGUUUACCCUAGUUUUAAGAAGAAGCGGCUGUACAACGUCUGCGUGAUGAAGAACCAACUGUGGCCCAUCUCCAGAGUUAUUUGUCGUAAAAAAAUGAGAGGUUUGUACUUGCCUUGUGUGUCUUGGUAAUGCUUGAGCUUGGUAGGGCCUAUUAAUGUAGGACAACUUUCAGUCGUGACACUGCAGUCACAGUCAUCUGGUCAUCAUGGUCUAGCCUACGCUAGCCUACACCCUACGUUAAUGAAAGUGUAGAACCAGACUACAAAACGCUGUUUCAGAACUUUUGCUGUCACCGGCUAACUAUCCACUGCCUAUUUUGUUUUGAAAUUUGAGUCACAGUCGUUUUUUUUUUAACUUUCAGGGCAACAAAUACCUCAUCAACUGGAAGAAUUGGCCCCUGACUGCUUGCUCUUUGGAACCAGAGAUCAACCUCAUCCAAGAUUUGAUCACAAGUUUUCAGCAUCCUGAAGUGAAAAACCGUAAACAGCUGGGACAUUUUUCACUGGUGCAAGCUUUCCAGAAAGUUCUCUGGUACAACCGAUCUGAAUUGCAUCCCGUUGAUGUUAGUUUACCACUAGACGUCUUCAGGCACUUUUUUGGAAACACUGGAGUUCCUUCUGCCAGAGUCAGAAGCUACAAGGAGUACCACAAGGAAGGUUUUAGCAACUAUGGAUUACCAAGAGGGUGACAACAUCUGGUCAACUCUGACUUUUAUGGACGGACUCUCGUGUUCCCAAUUUUAAUGCAACCAGUUUUACAAUGGUCUACAGAGAACUUUUGCAUUGUUGACGGAGAGGUACAGAGAAUCACUCCCUUUCCAGUGGAGAAAAUCUUGAUCCGGUGUUGUGCAGAUGCAUUCAAAUUGGACACACAAAUGUUCACUUCUUCAAAUGGAACAAGACAAGACAUAGUGGCCUCGACCGACAUGUAUGUGAUAUUGUCCAGUUCUAAAAAUCUUGCAGUCAGUUGUGGGCAGCAAUGUCACUCAGUAAACCAGUUUUGCAGACUGUGUUCAACCCUCGUUUUCAGAACAAUCAGUCAAUCAAAAAUUCCAACAUUCAUUUUCAGUUACUCUCCCAUUUCAAACAUGCCUUGAAUGGUUUUACAUUUGUGAUGGAGUACCCUUAAAGUACACUGAAUUGUUUGGAAAGUUUCUGUAUGAACAUUACAUACUUCCUUCGGAUGCUUCUGAAAGUCAAGAUAUAUGUUGUAUUUCAACUUUUCUGAAAGUAAUAAAAAAUUCAAACCUAGGGGGAAGGGGGUGCCCUAGCCCCCCAAAACCCCUCUCCCUAUUCAAUGUACCACUGCUUCAGAGAUGAGAUUGCACUCUGGCAUAUAAAGAGGGUUGCACUGUGGGGCUGCAUAUGAAUGCCAUAAAGACUUGGUUAAUGCCUGAAACCACAUGGUGCAGGUUGAGAUCCAAACAGAAGAUGGCAGCCUAGCUACUUGAAGUGAAAAAAAUUUAACUAUUUGGGAACUUGGGUUGAGAGCACAGAGUAGAACAUCAGCGUAUAACAGGCACAAGCAUGGAGAUCCUGCAAGAAACUAAGUAACAUAUGCAAAUAACCAUUACCCAAACAUAUCACCUAUUCCAAGCCACUGUUGAAAGUCUCCUGCUGUAUGUUGCAAAACCUGGACAGUCACUAAGAAACUUGGAAUGGCAAUGGGCGGACCGGUGCACACUAGUAACUGCACUGAACAUGACCUGGAAAAUGCACGAAUUAAAAAGAAUAGCAUGGGAAUGUCCAUUCUUGCUGUAAUUCCAAGUCAUGUCACACAAAAGAUCGUUUAACUUUGCAGGACAUGCACUAUAACUGGACUGAUGUUAGGAUACUACAAGAGGUAAUCACUUGGAUACCAAAACAAGGAAAGAGAUGACCUAUAAUAUGAAGACCUUCAACUUCAAGAAGACACAAGAUAUGAAACUCUAUGAAACGCAAGUGGAAAAUAUCAUGCAGGAUUGAUUCAUUGGCAAGCCAUAAUGGAUGCCCAUGUUUAACAAUAAGAGUCAAUGGAAGCAAAAGUAAGCAAUGUUCCAUGGGAUUACAAUGCAGCCUGGGACAUAUCUGAGCCCAAACUUGUACAGUGACCAUGUGUGCCGGAAUACAGUGGUCAAUAGUAGCAAUUUCUAAAAACACUGUAACUGAUCAGUGCAUGAAGCACUAACCUAAGCCAGCAGGACAGAAAGUAAAUUAAUGUGGGUUAAAACUCUGGAUAUUUACUUGAUAUGCUUUCUGUAGACAGUCUGGUCUAAUAUGAUGGAAUGAUCUGUCAGGGGAGGCGAGUCUAAUAAUAUUCUGGUAUUUUCUGUACAAUAUAAAAGUGCCCCCCCCCCGGUGAGAGACGAACCACACAUUCCUGACAGUUGCAAAAUGUCGUCUUGGCUAAGAAGAAAGAUAGCACAAAAGGUUUUAUGUUGAUUAUCGGGCACUAAAUGCUAUCACAAUAAAAGACACACACCUUUUGCCUAGAAUAGAUGAGACAGUGGACACCCUGGCUGGUGCCACUUGUUUUCAACACCAGAUUUAGCAUCCGGCUAUUGGCAGGUAGAGGAUGCCAGCCAAAGGUCUGCUUUUGUGGUCUGUAAUGGUCUAUAUAGGGGGAAAUGUAUGACAUUUGAACUCUGCAAUGCCCCUGCCACAUUUUGAGAGACUGGAGAAAGUCUUUUCAAGGUUGCAGUAGAAAUCCUGUUAAUUUACUUUGAUGACAUAAUUGUCUUUGGCAAGAGUGUUCCAGAGGAGAUUAAAUCCAAGUUGCGGGAGGCUGGACUAAGUUGUCCUCGCUUAUGUGAGUAGGAAGUUCAGCAAAGUGGAGAAGGAUUACUGUGUGACGAGGAGAGAACUUCUAGCAGUAGUAACCUACUGGAAAAAUUUCAGGCAGUAUUUGUACGGUCAGAAGGCCACAGUUUGAACGGACCAUGCUGCUAUGAAGUGGUUACUCCAGUUCAAGUACACCUGCAAAAUUUUGAGAAGAAAUUCUGAGUGAAUUGCAUGGAGGCAAGCUCGGUUGCCACUUAAGUGUGAACAAGACUGUGGCAAAGGUCAAAGUAAAAUACUUUUGGCCUGGACUUUGAGGGGAUGUGAGGUCAUUCAUCCACAGGUGUGCCAUGUGUGCACGAAGAAAAUCCCCCGCGAAAAAGCGAAGGGCUCCUUUGGAGCAGUGCUACAUAGGUGACCCAAUGGAGAGAGUGGCAUUAGAUUUGCUUGGGCCACUGCCCGUGACAGCUAGUGUUAAUACAGUCAAAUCCGAACACCUUUGUAAAACAGCCUCUUGUCCAUAGCGGCCACUUCUACAUGAUUCUGAUCGACAUUGCGCGUAAUUUGUUGGUCGCAGGUUUUAAUAUUGUGGCCUCUGUCCAACGCAGCCAGCAGACAGGCGUCUUGGAAUGGUGCGUGUACAUAAAUAUUGUGAGAGAACAUCCACAUUCCGGCCAAAGAAAAGUGAAGGGCGCCCUCUUGUGGUGCAUCAAAUUUGUAAAGUCAGAUACCUGGACUUUUUUUGUCGUGGUCAAGCAUGCCAACUACCUAGCCCGACACGUUCGGUCCCAGCACGGUGGUGCCGCCGGUGGAGAGGCUGAAGGAGCAGCGGGCGGUGUCCCAGUCAGACAGGUGUCACUGCAGAAGAGGAACUACCGUCGGAGGGGAGGCUGUACUUCGGAGGCAGAUGGUUUUCCGCUAGCAGUUUUCAGCUGGCCUGAGAGAAUGCAAGCCGACGGAGGAGUUCCGUCGGAGCAUUAGGGUAGACACAGAAACCCAAACGGAGGCCGUACUAAAGAGGGAGGAAUUCACCACGGUUACACGUGAGACGCUGGAGGAACCAUCGGGCCUGCGCACAUACAGGGAGACGGAAUCAGUCGGCCUCAGAGAGCCAGGAGAUAUUUGGUGGCGAACCUGGAACAGAGACAGUCUAAACGGUGAAUAGGCCAGAUAAACAAGAGACUUUGCAGUGGGUAGACCUCGCUGACUGUGGUGUUCUUGUUUGAUUUGGGAAUCAACUUGGGGCCUAAAUCAACGCUAACUAACAUUCUCGUGGACACCCAGGUAGGCCUAAGCCUUUUGAGAAUAAGUGAACAUUAAUAUUGUUGUUUUUGUGAUGAUUGUUUGACUCAAUUUCUGUGUUUCUUCUAAUUCUCCUUUUAAUCAAGACAGUCAUUUUUCUAAAUUGAGUGAAAUCUUAGAAAUGUGCCCUAUUCUGGAGAAUAGGCUUCUUCGUAGGAGGGGGUAGUGUAACAGACAUUUGUAAAGCCUUUUUCAUGUUUUAUUGCCAUGUUAAUCUUUUGUAGGCCGCCGGCGGCGCUGAGGGCCGCCGGCGGAGGGCCUCCGGCGGAGUGCCCUGACCUGUUUCUCUUGUGCUGUGUACGCACCUAAAUUGGUUUCUAUUUUGGGGCGUUGUGGUUUGGCGGGCGCGGGAGGGAAAUUGGAAAAGUGCCUGGGUGGCCUUAGAAAUUGUUAUACAAUUGUUAUGCAAUGUUAUACAUUGUGAUACAUGCUGUGUUUUGUAGAGCUCAAGUGUCACGUAGGCAGUAGUUGUUGUUCUGACGGCCGUGUGGAAGGUCAUGCACCGAGUUUGGUGAAUAAAACAACUAAAUUCUUUUUGGAAGUCCUGUAUCUGUCUCCCCUCUUUUGCGUUACCGGGUUUUGAGGGACAAUAGCACCCAGGUCUAUGCUACAGGAUAAAAUUUAUGCUGUCCCUUGUAACUCGACAAAAACCUGAGUGUCAUUUUCUCCUAUGUCUCGUCAACUUAUUAUAGACCGUCAUGUUAUCAAUUUUAUUUUUCUUAAUCUUGUUUUCAGGUGAUAAAGUACAUGACGUUGGAAAUAAAUGUUAAGUUUGUCAUUUAUGUAUACAGAAAAGCGAGACAGACAACAAGUCCAACCUAAUGGAGUUAGAAGGCCUUAUUAGGACAGUCAGAUGGCUUGAUGAACAGGGUGUAGACAUCGGGACAGUUUGUCACUGAUAGCCACAACCAAGUUACUAAGUACAUCCGUGAGAAGCUCAGACCCCGUGGAGUUAAGCACUUCUAUGACAUAUGGCAUGUUGCAAAGGUCUGAAAAAGAAGCUUACUGUUAUGGCAAAAAAAGACAAGAAAUACAGAGCUGGAUACAGGGCAUCGUUAACAACCUGUAUUGGGUUGCCACAUCAACAUCUGAUGGUGAUGGAGACUUGAUGUUGGCAAAGUUUGCCAGCAUUGUGAAUCAUGUCCUCAAUGUUCAUCAACAUGACAAUCUACUGUUUCCCCACUGUGCCCAUGGUGAUUUGGAGGAAAGGAAGUGGCUCAUCCCAGGUAUGAGGCUUUAUUACACAUGGAAAUAAUUAUGUGCAUCAGUUUGGCUGUAUAUUGCAUUUCAAUGCCAACAAACAUUUACAUUGAAUUUAUUUGUAUUAACCAAAGUAUUCUAAUGUUCUUUA
This 13574-nucleotide unclassified non-coding RNA is filed under the name Acanthaster planci (crown-of-thorns starfish). RNAcentral's name for it is "mucin-5AC-like, transcript variant X1". Lineage: Eukaryota; Metazoa; Echinodermata; Asteroidea; Valvatida; Acanthasteridae. The record is from RNAcentral.